Puma concolor (puma) is the source of this 527-nucleotide non-coding RNA. The record is from RefSeq and is a predicted model, not a curated record. NCBI's taxonomy places the organism in Eukaryota, Metazoa, Chordata, Mammalia, Carnivora, Felidae.
CGGGGCGAUGGAAGGAACAGAGGCGUAGCCCGGCUGAGGGCCGGCGCGGGCUCAGCCUUCAAGAGCCGCGGGAGGGGACGACCGCUGAACGCGUUAGGAGGCCGUUGCUUCUCCGAGUGGCUCUCUUUUGGGUUCGGUCGGGUGUCGGCAUGGCCCGCGGAAAUCAGCGAGAACUUGCCCGCCAGAAAAACAUGAAGAAAUCCCAGGAAAUUAGCAAGGGAAAAAGAAAAGAGGAUAGCUUGACUACCUCUCAGAGAAAACAGAGGGACUCUGAGAUAAUGCAACAAAAGCAGAAGGCAGCUAAUGAGAAGAAGUCUAUGCAGACGAGAGAAAAAUGAUGACUAUUUGGAAAACCUGGGUGCUACUGCCAACAAGGUGUAUCAUAAGCUCUGAUGAAAGUUUUGUGGAGUAAGCAGUCCUAUGUUACAACAUGUCCUUACAAAACUAUUUAAACUUUACCUCUCAGCCUAACUUAGUGUGAUGUUUCAGAACCAUUCUUCAAAGAAUAAAACAAAAGCUAUGCAUGA